CAAGUCGAACGCGUGUAGCAAUACACGAGUGGCGCACGGGUGAGUAACGCGUGGAUAUCUGCCUUUUGGUUCGGAAUAACCCCGGGAAACUGGGGCUAAUACCGGAUGGUUCCUACGGGAUAAAGAUUUAUCGCCAAAAGAUGAGUCCGCGUACGAUUAGCUAGUUGGUGAGGUAAUGGCUCACCAAGGCGACGAUCGUUAGCUGGUCUGAGAGGACGAUCAGCCACACUGGGACUGAGACACGGCCCAAACUCCUACGGGAGGCAGCAGUGGGGAAUAUUGGACAAUGGGGGCAACCCUGAUCCAGCCAUGCCGCGUGAGUGAUGAAGGCCUUCGGGUUGUAAAGCUCUUUUGGCGGGGACGAUGAUGACGGUACCCGCAGAAUAAGCCCCGGCUAACUUCGUGCCAGCAGCCGCGGUAAGACGAAGGGGGCUAGCGUUGUUCGGAAUUACUGGGCGUAAAGCGAGUGUAGGUGGUUGUCCAAGUUGGAUGUGAAAGCCUUGAGCUUAACUCAAGAAAUGCAUUCAGGACUGGGCGGCUAGAGGACCGGAGAGGAUAGUGGAAUUCCCAGUGUAGUGGUGAAAUACGUAGAGAUUGGGAAGAACACCAGUGGCGAAGGCGGCUAUCUGGACGGUUUCUGACACUAAAACUCGAAAGCGUGGGGAGCAAACAGGAUUAGAUACCCUGGUAGUCCACGCCGUAAACGAUGGGUGCUAGACGUUGGCGGGCUUGCCCGUCAGUGUCGCA
RNAcentral lists this ribosomal RNA (747 nucleotides) under uncultured Alphaproteobacteria bacterium. Its description in RNAcentral is "bacterial SSU rRNA". It matches the Rfam family "Bacterial small subunit ribosomal RNA", at positions 58 to 850 of the family's 1533-position model. The record is from RNAcentral. Lineage: Bacteria; Pseudomonadati; Pseudomonadota; Alphaproteobacteria.